UCUGAAGAGGCUGGGAAUGCUGGCCUACGGGGAAGGCAUGUGUGGAGUUGACCUUCAGAGAGCAGUAUCAGGCGUAUCAAAUGCACUCACCCUUCUGAGAUUCCUUCUUCCCUUUGACAUUGCUAAAAAUGGAAUCAGCUGCAAACGGGCCUGAUGCAGAAGUGCUUCUCCUUCCCCUUGCCCCUGGACCUGAGCCGGAGCUGUCUAUCUACAUGAGGACACCAUCUGGCAACACUGAAAUGUUGCCCUCACUGUAUGCCAUCACCAGGAAGACAAGCAAUAGAUGAUGAGUGAAAAUAAAAUGUUUAGUUGGAAACUAUUUGGGAAUGGCUUUAUGUCCACAUAUGGACACAGCCUGGCUGGAACUGGGGAGAUCUUCCCUUUCUGGUGUCUUUUCAAGGUCUUGAGAUGAGCUCUAACAAAUAUCUCAGGCCAUCUGGCCUAGUUUUUCAUAAUUGUGACUCCUAAAUGUAAACACGGUCCGAGAGAAUAUCGGGAACAAAAAAAAGGCUAAUGAAAUUCUUCUAAUUUAACGGAGUUGUUCUGAGUCUCAUUCAGUUACUUAAACAUUUUUUUCUUUCCUUCUCGCAGUCAUCAAUCCUGGAAAAUCU
Molecule: long non-coding RNA, 611 nt
Filed under: Homo sapiens (human)
Lineage: Eukaryota; Metazoa; Chordata; Mammalia; Primates; Hominidae
Description: HSALNT0219921
Source: RNAcentral